RNAcentral lists this non-coding RNA (223 nucleotides) under Lutispora thermophila. RNAcentral's name for it is "T-box sequence". It matches the Rfam family "T-box leader". From Rfam's summary of the family: Uncharged tRNA acts as the effector for transcription antitermination of genes in the T-box leader family. T-boxes are found upstream of many aminoacyl-tRNA synthetase genes and some amino acid biosynthetic genes usually in Gram-positive bacteria. Lineage: Bacteria; Bacillati; Bacillota; Clostridia; Lutisporales; Lutisporaceae. The record is from RNAcentral.
UUAUCGGCUAUGAAAAGGGAUAGUAGGCUUUUUGGAUUUUUCAGAGAGAAGAUGGUUGGUGAAAAUCUUUAAUGAAAAAGGGCUGAACCCACCUUUGAGCUAUGAACCCAACGAUUAUUCAAGUAGGCUUCAUCGCAUUUCCUGCGUUAAAAGGAAAAGCAUUGAGUGCAGAAGAUUUCUUCUGAAAUUAGGUGGUACCGCGGUUUGUAUAUUCGCCCUAAGU